AGCUAAUUAUAACAGUUCCAGUACCUUACGAUGCAGCCGAGGGGACUGACGCCACCACCCACCACUGCCACCACCGCCACAACAAGGGUUAUUCAAAUGGGGAACAUGCUUCAGGUGUUGCCCCAACAGAUGCCUCAGCCCCGCAGCCCCACUUCCCCAUGAUAGUGCAGGCAGGGAAUGUCAUACAGGUUGUUCCAGCUGACAACACGCAGGUAUUAGGGGCAGAAGUCGUUGGAGUUGGUCGGGUCAUGCAAGUGGUCGGAGUCCCAGGCUUUCCCCCGACCCCAGCCCCAGACCCCUGCCCCAGCCACCCCUCUCCCUGUGACCCCUGCCCAGUCAUCCCUCACCCCCUCCUGCCCCCCUGCGGUGCUGCCAGCGGGGGUGAUGGGAGGUGGAGGUGGGCCACACACACCUGGGUUAGCUGUGGCUUGGCUUAUCUCCCUCCUCAGCAGCAAAUCCCGAGGAUCAACGAGGACAUGGUGGACCCAGAGAUUGCAGCAGCAGCAAGAGAGAGAGAGAGAAGCAAGAGAGGAGGGAGAGGAAGGAGAGGAGGAGGAGAGAGAGGGAGGCCAGGAGGGAGGCACGUCAGAGAGAGAGGGAGAGGAAGAGGUUGAUUCUGUUACAACAACAACUGCAACAACAACAACAGUUAGUCAGUGAGGAGGGGGAGGGGCCGUCCUCUGAUGCUGAGGAUGAGGUAUUGUUCAGGGAGGCCAUGUCGGAGGUGCCGGUGGUGGGGUCGCCAGUUCCGGAGUACGAGGUGGAGGAGGAAAAGGAAGAGGAGGACGAGGAGGAGGCACGGAUAAGGAAGAAGAAAAGAUUAUUACCUGUAGCCCUCCCUCCAGCUGAUAAGGGGAUAUUAAGGAGCCCUUCCUACAGGUGUGUCUGUCUACCUGUGUGUCUCUUUCUAUCUCUCCUUUUCAUUUUUCCAGUUUCCCAUUAUUUUCUCCACCCUCUCACUGUCUUUUCUCAGCCUCUCACAACCUAUCACACCCUCUCCCAGCUAUUCACAGCCACUCACAGCCUCUCUCUCUCUCACUCUAUCUCAUUCCCAGUGUAUCCAGACCAUUCCAGACUCACCCCAAACUGUCCCCAAGACUUCCAGUCCAUCCCAACUUCUCACAGCCUCUUCCAGCCUUUCACAGCCUCUCUCUCUCUCUCUCUCUCUCUCUCUCUCUCUCUCUCUCUCUCUCUCUCUCUCUCUCUCUCUCUCUCUCUCUCUCUCUCUCUCUCUCUC
Long non-coding RNA from Scylla paramamosain (green mud crab), 1237 nucleotides. RefSeq lists it as uncharacterized. Lineage: Eukaryota; Metazoa; Arthropoda; Malacostraca; Decapoda; Portunidae. The transcript is spliced from 5 exons. The record is from RefSeq and is a predicted model, not a curated record.